RNAcentral lists this long non-coding RNA (328 nucleotides) under Homo sapiens (human). Its description in RNAcentral is "HSALNT0131333". Lineage: Eukaryota; Metazoa; Chordata; Mammalia; Primates; Hominidae. The record is from RNAcentral.
CCCCUGCACUUGCGCCCCACCAGCGCCACUCCAUCAGCCGCUGUACGCACCUAGCCCUAAAGGUACCUGAGUCAUCAGCCUGUCCGCUCCGGUGUUUUCUUCAUCCUUAAAUAUGAUGUCGGGGUUGUAAUUGGGGGUGAGUUCCUUAAAUCGCUCGGAGUUUCUGGAGAUCUUCCCUUCAUACCUUCCGCUGGCGCCUAGGGUCUUCUCGGCCACAUUGGGGAUAAACUGCUUGUAGGCUAAAGGGGUCAGCUUUUUGGGGUGCCUCCUCUUCCCGAACCCCCUGCCCGGUCCGCACGCCAGUCCCGAGCAUACCAGCAGCGAGGAG